RNAcentral lists this ribosomal RNA (406 nucleotides) under uncultured bacterium. Its description in RNAcentral is "partial 16S ribosomal RNA". It matches the Rfam family "Bacterial small subunit ribosomal RNA", at positions 30 to 526 of the family's 1533-position model. The record is from RNAcentral.
AUUGAACGCUGGCGGCAGGCCUAACACAUGCAAGUCGAACGAGUGGCGGACGGGUGAGUAAUGUCUGGGAAACUGCCUGAUGGAGGGGGAUAACUACUGGCAACGGUAGCUAAUACCGCAUACUAUCGGAUGUGCCCAGAUGGGAUUAGCUAGUAGGUGGGGUAACGGCUCACCAAGGCGACGAUCCCUAGCUGGUCUGAGAGGAUGACCAGCCACACUGGGACUGAGAAACGUGCCAGACUCCUACGGGAGGCAGCAGUGGGGAAUAUUGCACAAUGGGCGCAAGCCUGAUGCAGCCAUGCCGCGUGUAUGAAGAAGGCCUGCGGGUUGUAAAGUACUUUCAGCGGGGAGGCGUUACCCGCAGAAGAAGCACCGGCGAACUCCGUGCCAGCAGCCGCGGUAAUAC